ACCGCUCUGAUGGUGGCACAUGCCGAGUCAACCGAGUAAGCUAUUGUUAAGGGCCGUGACCCGAGCCUCCAUCAGCCGCCCGCUCUCAUGAAAGGCUGUCGGUGGUAGUCCACGUGCUUCUCUUAAGUGCCUGCAUUCCGCAGUGUCACCAAUAUUUCCAUUAGUGUUUCUUUUGUCUUUUUUUUAAGACCGAGCCUCGUUCUGUCACCCAGGCUGGAAUGCAGUGGCUCGAUCUCGGUUAACGGCAACCUCCGCGUCCCGAGUUAAGCAAUUCUGCUUCAGCCUCCCAAGUAACUGGGACUACAGGCGCGCGCCACCACGCUAGGCUUUUGUAUUUUUAGUAGAGACGGGGUUUCGCCAUGUUGGCCAUACUGGUCUUGCACUCCUGACCUCUGGUGAUCCACCAGCCGUGGUCUCCCAAAGUACUGGGAUUACAAGCCGUGAGCCACCGUGCCCGGCCGCCAUUGGUGAUUCUUAACUGCGGGUGCAGUGCUCUUUUGUAACAUUAAGUGUAUCCUUUACUUGUCGCUAGAUAAUGAAUGGUAUGUUACCUACAUCAUUGGUUUUAAAAGACGACAUAAAGAACCGUGGAACAAUGAAUUAAAAUCUGUACCCGAUCUCUUUAGGUAUGGUGCUGGGUGCAGAUGCAAUGUGGCUCUGGAUAGCACCUUAUGGACAGUUGUGUCCCAAAGGAAGGAUGAGAAUAGCUACUGAAGUCCUAAAGAGCAAGCCUAACUCAAGCCAUUGGCACACCGGCAUUAGACAGAAAACUGGAAGUUGAAAUGGUGGAGUCCAACUUGUCUGGACCAGCUUAAUGGUUCUGCUCCUGGUAACGUUUUUAUCCACGGAUGGCUUGCUUGGGUAAGGACGUGAAGACAGUUCCUGUCAUACCUUUUUUAAAGGUAUGGAGAGUCGGCUUGACUACACUGUGUGGAGCAAGU
This 941-nucleotide long non-coding RNA is filed under the name Pongo abelii (Sumatran orangutan). Its description in RNAcentral is "lincRNA". Lineage: Eukaryota; Metazoa; Chordata; Mammalia; Primates; Hominidae. The record is from RNAcentral.